This is a non-coding RNA of Danio rerio (zebrafish), 71 nucleotides long. The record is from Rfam. Lineage: Eukaryota; Metazoa; Chordata; Actinopteri; Cypriniformes; Danionidae.
GCAUUGGUGGUUCAGUGGUAGAAUUCUUGCCUGCCACGCGGGAGACCCGGGUCCGAUUCUCGGCCAAUGCA